GUCCCUCACUGUCGGAAGGUUGGGGAAACGAAGGCUCGACCAUUGUGAUCGAGCUAAUUCCUUUCUCUUUGGCACAACUGGGGGUGAAGGCGUGGUUGAGCCCCCAACAUUGAUCAUGAGAUUGUGGAUCUGUACAAUCUUAUUGCUAUGAUUGUGAAGUUUGACAUGGACUCACUCUUGCUUUUCCCCUCACACCUCAGGAAAAAGUUUAGGCUUGUGAUCAACCAGUCAGUUUGGAUCUUGUAGAGUGGAGUUAAUACCUGAAGUUUGGAGUUGUCUAUCCUCUGUUUGCUAUCAAAGGUUCUCUUUUAUACUAUGUACGUUAUGUAAUAAGCAUUUUGAUUUGAUACUACCCCUC
Molecule: long non-coding RNA, 358 nt
Filed under: Sorghum bicolor (sorghum)
Lineage: Eukaryota; Viridiplantae; Streptophyta; Magnoliopsida; Poales; Poaceae
Description: long non-coding RNA (SBIC_LNC007655)
Source: RNAcentral